Molecule: RNA transcript, 4167 nt
Organism: Osmia bicornis bicornis
Lineage: Eukaryota; Metazoa; Arthropoda; Insecta; Hymenoptera; Megachilidae
Exons: 8
Source: RefSeq, a predicted model, not a curated record
UGUAACAAUGUUAUAUUUUUCUUUAUGCAAGACAUAAACUUUUGUGAUUUCUGGUUAUGUAGAAUUUAUUUUUACCGAAUGUAUUGUGACCCUUUUUUGGGGUGCACUUUAUACAAUAUCUGGAAGUCUAUAUAAUUCGUUGGGCGCCAGCCACGUUCGCGUGGUGAUUUGGGAAAAAGGGAAAUUGGGGUUUUUAUACAAUAGUGGGGACUCGCGGCUCGACCUCGGUCGAAACUCGCGGGUGGGGAAUCUCGGGGUGGAAGGUUCUAAGGAGGUUCGCACGUUACGCUGUCGAGAAGGGGUCAAAAUAGGGGGAAUCUUUAAGGGUAGGAGAAAAGGAUGGUACGUAAUAUCGCGAUUGGGUAAACUUUACUUUACCGGACCCAAAAUUUUGGACCUUUUUUUUUUUGAUUGAUAGGUUUUUUUGCGUAGAAUCUGAAAAUGCAAGUCUCGACUUUAGAAAUUCAGUGGUUAAAAAGUUAUAAGCGUGUAAAGUUUGACAUUUUUAGCGGAUUUGCUACGUUACUGUGACGCCAUAUUGCCUUAUAUGUAUAACCUGAUUAGUUCUCACAUGGGCAGUACAGUAUGUUUGUAAAAUAUAUAUAAACCUAACUAACUCAGACAGUAUCAAAUGUACGGUUUGACUGUACCCGCCAAAGUAGUCGGCACCCACAUGAAUCUGCCUGCAGCUAGCGACACCGUUCAUUGGACAAGAAGUCAAUAUGGCGUCACAGUAACGUAGCAAAUGCGCUAAACAUAUCAAACUUUACAUGCUUAUAACUUUUGAACCAUUGGAUUCCUAAAGUUGAGACUUGCAUUUUUGGAUUUCCCGCAUCAAAAACUAUAGAUUCAAAAAAAAAAAGUCCAAAAUUUUGGGUCCGGUAAAGUAAAGUUCACCCUCGCGAUUUACAAUUGCGCGGACGUAGAAGGUGGUCGUUGCCGGACUCAGAAUUCACAAUUAUAAGAAUCUUAGGGACUCACCACCGUUGCAGCACACUCGUACACACACACUUAACCGGAUCCUACUCAAUCUCUUUCCCAAUACGCUUCUCUUAAAUCUCACAAAAUCGCUCUUUACAAUACUCGCUUUCGUACGCUAAAUGCCCAUUGCUCGCUCGUCGCCGUUGCGGCGACGGCGAGUCCUUCGCAAGGACUUUUAGGGAGGGGAUAUAGAUCGGGGAUUGGUUCUUCUUCUAUGUUGGGCGCUAAUUGGGCAAGGGAUCUAUCGAUUGGGGAUUGGCCAGUAAUUGGGAUCGAUAGGACUGACGGAGAUUCGGCGAUGCUGGCUGCGGGCUGAGGGUCCCCCCAAAAUCUGCAUUUUACGACAUUUUUUUGAAUUUUUGAUUUUUCACGCCUAAGAUUUACAACCAAAAAAUCUGAAAAAAUUCACAGUCAUAAAUAAGCAUGUCUAGAAUAUUUUAGAAUUUUUUCAGAUUUUUUGUAUAAUGUUAAAUAGGAGAAAUAUGGCAAAAACGGUAAUAUCUAUCUUACCCUAUAACAACCCUCCCGGUUGAGAUACAGGGUUGAAACUUGGUGUACCAUGGUUUUUUGGGAUAAGCUAUCGAAUGGUGCAUUGCUAAGUAUAAUCGGCUCAAGGGCACUUUUAACCAUCUUAUCCUACUACAUAUACCCUUUCUAAACAUAUUUCUUUCUUCUUCUUUUUUCUUUUUUUUAUACCAAUAAAGGAAAAGUUUUGCACAUAGAAAUUAUUUUAUGAUUACCCAUAAAGUUUUGUCCAAACAAAAUCGAAAUAAUACACCAGAAAGAAGAAAGAUGAACGAUUUUUAACUCUAUUUAUAAUUUACACAGCCUCCACAAGCACAUAUGUAUUUGAAAUUUUUUCACAAAGACUGAAAAACGUAUUUCUAAUGGUCGUUUAUGAUGUGAAGCUGGAACGAUUAAAUGCAUCUACGUCAUGUCUUCCGAAUUAGAGUUUAAUUAUUAAAUGACAUUGUUAAACGUUUUUUACACCCUUCAUAAACAUUUAUAAUUUAUAUAUUCUGAUUCAGUUACUUUGUAACAGUUUUAAAUUCAUUACGCAGAUAUUUAAAUACCUUUUCUCAUCGCAAUAAAAUCUUAUUCUUUAAUUAUAAAAACUUUUGUUGGUUACGUGAAAAAUCGUAGAGCAAUGGAUAUAACGACAAAUUUCGAGAUUCCAACGAUAAGAAUACAUUAUUUCUAUUUUGCAGAAUCUAUCGUACAAAUUGAUCCUAAUAUAUAAAUAAAUAAAUUAUUAAAGAGGGGGGUGGGAUUCAGUUCAUUUGAUCAGUUAUUUGUAUGCGAUAUUAUGUAAAGUAACACAAAUUAGAUAAGAAAUAAAUAGGAAGUAAUAAAAAGAAAAUUAUCGUAAAAUUGUACUUUAAUUAACAGUCAUACUGAUCCAGGUGGUGGGGUGUUUUAGUGUAAUUUUAAAGUCAACGACGACGAUGAUACUGGUCUCAAAGGCGGUACUUUUAUUUGAGUAACAUCUUUCCGUAACCCAAGUCUCGUUUAUUUCAAGUUUUAUAUAGACUAUCCAAAUAUAAAUCGUUAAACUAGUAAGCCUAAUAAAGUUAUCAUUAAUUCAAGAACAAUAAAUUAUUCAUUAAGCAGAAAGGAGUACAAAAGGAUCAAGAUCAUGUAUGAUAUGUGUGUCGAUUAAUGCACUCGAACCAGAGCCAGAAGCGCUGAUGGGAAAGUUAUCUGGUUAUGCGAUUACCACCGCAAUACAACAACUAAAUUCGACCAGAUGCCGAAAGGAAAUGGAGGAAUACCGUGAUGCAGUGAAUCAUCGUGUAUUGUGGAGUCUGAAAAUGCUGGAUAUAAGCGGACAGUCGUCGUCUGGAUUCGUCUUCGGUAGCAACUACUGGACGGGAAACAGGCAACGGUGCACUCAACCUAGCCAGAAGCGAUUUUUACUAAUAUCAGACAAGCAUAUAAGAAACAAUUCCAUCUAUCGUAAUCCACCUGAAGAAUUCCCACCAUUUGAACUGAACUUCUUUAGCGCUCAUGUCCGGCAUAGUAGCACUAUAUGUACAAUAUCUCGUGGAGGACAUAACAGUGCUCGGAUUUUGUCUACCUGCGUCCUGCGGCGAAAACGAAGUAGGCACAAUACUAACGAAAAUGUUCGACGAUAGACUUCUUCUAAUCGGACAACUCUAUUCGACAGAGUUUAAGUUGAUCAGAAUCUUCAACUUGAAAGACGAUCAUACGUGGCUUCUCAGCGGGAAGAUGAUAACCAUCCUGUAUGUAAACGCGAUAAGAGGUCGACGGGUUCUAUUUGAAAUAAUUAAAUACUGAUGGGUAGGCACGUUAUACGAUGUCUUCGUUUACCAGAGGUAUUUGUAUAGAAACAAAUUGUUUCCUAAGAAGAACCUCAACACUAUUGAAGAGAAAGGAAGUCCGUCAGAGAUGAAGCCAAUCAGAGAUGAAGUUCUCAGCCUAUUUCAAUAUCAAAAAGAUAUUCAGUGUAGAAGACACCAGUUCAGGAAAUAUGUUACUAUUUCAUGGAUUAAAAUUCUUUGGAAUGAUAUGAAUCAUUUUUGCACAUUCGUUGUUCUACGUAACAAAUGUUCUAAGUAUGGCAAUCGUUAGUGGAAAUAAAUGAGAUGCUCAUAAAUUAAAAAUUUAUUACAAACUAAUAAUUUAUUACAGUUUUUUCCCUUCAAUUUCAUUAGUUUUUCAUUUUUUCUUUUUUGCUUAAUAAGCAUACUCAGGAAGAUUUGAUUUCUACAGAUAACAGAACUGAAGAGCUCAUAGUGUCUGCUAAUUUUGAAAGCCAAAUUAUUUCUAACGCGACAUUUGCUGUAGACACUUUCUUCUUCGUCAGCGGUUUUCUGUUGUCAUUUGCAUAUCUAAAGGGGCAAAUGGAAGGAGGAAGAGUAGUGUCGUUACGCAAAAAUGUAAUAAUUUUUAUCGUGGCAGUCAUCAGAAGAUACAUCAGAAGACUAACACUUGUAUACUUGAUUACAAUACUGCACUUCUCUUGGUACGAAAAGAUCUCGCUGUACUAUUUCGACGAGCCUAUGCAUGAACUAUGCUCGAAAUACUGGUGGAGAAACAUCCUUUAGAUCAAUAAUUUCUUCAAACGAAGCCACAUGGUAUCGUAAAUAAAUUUCUCUCGUCACCGUAUUGGAUCUAUAUAAACCUGCUGUAAUAAUGGUAGUUACUAUGGGUAGCAAUUACCCC